RNAcentral lists this ribosomal RNA (303 nucleotides) under Arthrobacter sp. CR-0-5. RNAcentral's name for it is "bacterial SSU rRNA". It matches the Rfam family "Bacterial small subunit ribosomal RNA", at positions 54 to 354 of the family's 1533-position model. Lineage: Bacteria; Bacillati; Actinomycetota; Actinomycetes; Micrococcales; Micrococcaceae. The record is from RNAcentral.
CAUGCNAGUCGAACGAUGAAGCCCACCUUGUUGGGUGGAUUAGUGGCGAACGGGUGAGUAACACGUGAGUAACCUGCCCUUAACUCUGGGAUAAGCCUGGGAAACUGGGUCUAAUACCGGAUAUGACUCCUCAUCGCAUGGUGGGGGGUGGAAAGCUUUAUUGUGGUUUUGGAUGGACUCGCGGCCUAUCAGCUUGUUGGUGAGGUAAUGGCUUACCAAGGCGACGACGGGUAGCCGGCCUGAGAGGGUGACCGGCCACACUGGGACUGAGACACGGCCCAGACUCCUACGGGAGGCAGCAGA